GUUUCACGAUCCGUGAAUGGUGCACAUGGUGCCAGAGGGUAGACCCCAAAACACUGACAAUCCGUGCAGAUGGUGAAUUGGUUGACGGAUGGUGGAAGUAGUUUCACAAUCUGUGAAUGGUGCACAUGGUGCCAGAGGGUAGACCCCAAAACACUGACGAUCCGUGCGGAUGGUGCGCGUGGUGAAUUGGUUGACAGAUGGUGGAAGUGGUUUCAC
This is a non-coding RNA of Paramuricea clavata, 216 nucleotides long. NCBI's taxonomy places the organism in Eukaryota, Metazoa, Cnidaria, Anthozoa, Malacalcyonacea, Plexauridae. The record is from the annotation of a GenBank genome assembly.